GGCUCCUUCUUCUAUGUAACUUAAACAAUUGUUUGUGUUAAUACCACCUCCAACUUGUAAGCCGCCAGGAUAAGCAUGCAGUGCUUCUACAGCUGCAGCUUUGCUUAAAGGAUCAGCUCCAAGCAUGAUUACAUGACCACCCACAAGCCCAUCUUCUUUGUAUAAAUUUGCAAACUCUGCUGCUGACUUAUCUGAUUCAAAGUUUGUUACAAGAAUUGACCCGUCCUCCUUUGAAUCUCGAAGGGUAGACCCAACAAUUUGCUUCACUUUUCCCUUGUGUAAGUCGAUGCAAGGGCGGAAGCGAACGGCACAGUGUAUAGACAAACGCGAAGAUCUGCAGACAAGUGAAGGCGAGGUUGUGAUACAUUUGUAGUUGUUUCGAA
Molecule: unclassified non-coding RNA, 383 nt
Filed under: Hevea brasiliensis (rubber tree)
Lineage: Eukaryota; Viridiplantae; Streptophyta; Magnoliopsida; Malpighiales; Euphorbiaceae
Source: RNAcentral